AUUGAACGCUGGCGGCAUGCCUUACACAUGCAAGUCGAACGGUAACGCGGGGCAACCUGGCGACGAGUGGCGAACGGGUGAGUAAUGCAUCGGAACGUGCCCAGUAGUGGGGGAUAGCCCGGCGAAAGCCGGAUUAAUACCGCAUACGACCUACGGGUGAAAGCGGGGGACCGCAAGGCCUCGCGCUAUUGGAGCGGCCGAUGUCAGAUUAGGUUGUUGGUGGGGUAAAGGCCUACCAAGCCGACGAUCUGUAGCUGGUCUGAGAGGACGACCAGCCACACUGGGACUGAGACACGGCCCAGACUCCUACGGGAGGCAGCAGUGGGGAAUUUUGGACAAUGGGGGCAACCCUGAUCCAGCCAUGCCGCGUGCGGGAAGAAGGCCUUCGGGUUGUAAACCGCUUUUGUCAGGGAAGAAACGCUCUGGGCUAAUACCCCGGGGUAAUGACGGUACCUGAAGAAUAAGCACCGGCUAACUACGUG
Molecule: ribosomal RNA, 482 nt
Filed under: uncultured bacterium
Lineage: Bacteria
Description: bacterial SSU rRNA
Rfam family: Bacterial small subunit ribosomal RNA
Source: RNAcentral